Arabis alpina (gray rockcress) is the source of this 102-nucleotide small nucleolar RNA. It matches the Rfam family "Small nucleolar RNA Z43". Rfam says of the family: Z43 is a member of the C/D class of snoRNA which contain the C (UGAUGA) and D (CUGA) box motifs. Most of the members of the box C/D family function in directing site-specific 2'-O-methylation of substrate RNAs. The record is from Rfam. Lineage: Eukaryota; Viridiplantae; Streptophyta; Magnoliopsida; Brassicales; Brassicaceae.
GGACAGUGAUGAUUUUUAAUGAUGUCUCGUUCGUCGUAAUAUAAGCUGUGACAAGUUUAUUUGACGACCAUACUGUUAUAUCACCACCCAUAAACUGAGUCC